CGCGUAGGCGGCACGGCAAGUCAGGAGUGAAAGGCCUGGGCUCAACCGAGGAACUGCUUUUGAGACUGCCGAGCUAGAGUGCAGAAGGGGCAACUGGAAUUCCCAGUGUAGCGGUGAAAUGCGUAGAUAUUGGGAAGAACACCUGAGGCGAAGGCGGGUUGCUGGGCUGACACUGACGCUGAGGCGCGAAAGCCAGGGAGCAAACG
Molecule: ribosomal RNA, 206 nt
Filed under: uncultured bacterium
Lineage: Bacteria
Description: partial 16S ribosomal RNA
Rfam family: Bacterial small subunit ribosomal RNA
Source: RNAcentral